RNAcentral lists this ribosomal RNA (619 nucleotides) under Vishniacozyma victoriae. RNAcentral's name for it is "partial large subunit ribosomal RNA". It matches the Rfam family "Eukaryotic large subunit ribosomal RNA", at positions 45 to 655 of the family's 3401-position model. Lineage: Eukaryota; Fungi; Basidiomycota; Tremellomycetes; Tremellales; Bulleribasidiaceae. The record is from RNAcentral.
AAUAGCGGAGGAAAAGAAACUAACUAGGAUUCCCUUAGUAACGGCGAGUGAACCGGGAUGAGCUCAAAUUUAAAAUCUGGCGUCUUUCAGGCGUCCGAGUUGUAAUCUAUAGAGGCGUUUUCCGCGCCGGACCGCGUCCAAGUCUCUUGGAAUAGAGUAUCAAAGAGGGUGACAAUCCCGUACUUGACGCGACAACCGGUGCUCUGUGAUACGUUCUCAAUGAGUCGAGUUGUUUGGGAAUGCAGCUCUAAAUGGGUGGUAAAUUCCAUCUAAGGCUAAAUAUUGGCGAGAGACCGAUAGCGAACAAGUACCGUGAGGGAAAGAUGAAAAGCACUUUGGAAAGAGAGUUAAACAGCACGUGAAAUUGUUAAAAGGGAAACGAUUGAAGUCAGUCGUGUGAAAGGUAUUCAGCCGUCUCUGGCGGUGUAUUUGCCUUUCACGGGUCAACAUCAGUUUGAUCCGGUAGAAAAAGGCGGGAGGAAGGUGGCACCCUCGGGUGUGUUAUAGCCUCCUGUCAUAUGUGCCGGACCAGACUGAGGAACGCAGCUUGCCGCAAGGCCGGGGUUCGCCCACGUACAAGCUUAGGAUGUUGACAUAAUGGCUUUAAACGACCCGUCUU